CCUACGGGUGGCAGCAGUGAGGAAUAUUGGUCAAUGGGCGCGAGCCUGAACCAGCCAAGUAGCGUGAAGGAUGACUGCCCUACGGGUUGUAAACUUCUUUUAUAAAGGCAUACAGUGAGGCACGUGUGCCUUUUUGUAUGUACUUUAUGAAUACGGAUCGGCUAACUCCGUGCCAGCAGCCGCGGUAAUACGGAGGAUCCGAGCGUUAUCCGGAUUUAUUGGGUUUAAAGGGAGCGUAGAUGGGUUGUUAAGUCAGUUGUGAAAGUUUGCGGCUCAACCGUAAAAUUGCAAUUGAUACUGGCAGUCUUGAGUACAGUUGAGGUAGGCGGAAUUCGUGGUGUAGCGGUGAAAUGCUUAGAUAUCACGAAGAACUCCGAUUGCGAAGGCAGCCUACUAAACUGCCACUGACAUUGAUGCUCGAAAGUGUGGGUAUCAAACAGGAUUAGAUACCCCAGUAGUC
Molecule: ribosomal RNA, 460 nt
Filed under: uncultured bacterium
Lineage: Bacteria
Description: partial 16S ribosomal RNA
Rfam family: Bacterial small subunit ribosomal RNA
Source: RNAcentral